ACAGAGUGUCUCCUCCACAAGCUGAGUACCUCAGGUGCCAGUCUUCUGGGUUCCGGGAUUCCCACCACAGGUGUGAGACCACACCCUCUGACUGGUGAAAUAAGAGAUGCUCAAGGAACUUAAAGGAUUUGUUCAAAACCAAAGGAAAAGGGCCACAGAGCGGAGCCAAGCAUCCACAGCCUCCACUGCAGGGUGAGGUGAGGCCGGCUGUGUGGUGACUAAGUCAGCUUUCCAGAAAUCAGGAAAGGAGCGACGGAGUCCACAGGUGAGGGGGCUCUGAUCCUGGGUGUCUGUGUUCCUGAGCCAUGAUUUUUGUACCUUCAACAAUGGAAAAGACUUCCUGUCCACCGCCAGAGGGUUGGUACCAGGACUUCCUGUUACCCGCUUCUCCAUCAUCUAGACACUGUUUAUGGUGGUUCCCAGCAAGGACAGACAGACUGCUGGCACCUGUGACAGACAGCUCAUCUUGCUAUCAAUCUGACCUACUGUAUCUGGAAUGAACUAAAACUAGAGCCCACAGGCUCUCCUGUAAGGGAUUUUCUUAAUCAUUAUUAUUGGGAGCAGGAAGGCCCACCCUGAAUCUGGGUAGCACCUUCUGGAAGAAGGAAGCUUCCCUUUUUGUUUGCUUGCGGUCACUCUCUCAGGGCAAGCCUGUGGAUCCUGCGCUUUGGCAUUCCUUCACAAAUAUUUAAAAAAAAACAAAUUCUUUGGGAUUCCAAUACAGACCGAAGACCUCUCCAGGAAUUCCGCCAACCUUCAGUGCCUUCUUACAACUACUGAGACAACUACCAGAUUCUCAGUCUCUCCAGCAUGUGACAUCCAUUGCUGGAUCAUCCAGACCACACAUCCUUUAAGCCAGUCUAAUAAAUUCCUUUUUACUACAUA
This 885-nucleotide long non-coding RNA is filed under the name Mus musculus (house mouse). RNAcentral's name for it is "predicted gene, 56853". The record is from RNAcentral. Lineage: Eukaryota; Metazoa; Chordata; Mammalia; Rodentia; Muridae.